UUAAAGGUCUCCUCUCCUACACCCUAGACGUGAUCGGGCUUCAAGGUCUCCUCCUAUGGCUCCCUCAAUUUCGAGGAGAAGGACGGUAAGAUCACGCUGCGUGCGAAGAAGAGCAAGCUGGAGACCAGCGAGGUAAUCGGCGUAUUAGAGAUCCUCCAGCCGUUUGAUGGUGAUUUGGUUCCUAGGUACCCAAGGACGUCAAGAUGCUCUCUUUCGGCAAAUCAGUUUACUACAACAUCCCAACCAACCUUAGGAGAGCUAACUCCUUUGAUGGACAUGUCUGUUGUUGCAGUCUGGUUUUCUCUUGAAAGGUAAUGCAUGCAUUUUUGUUCUCUUUGACAGGGUUUUAGUUGGUUGAGUUGUUGACAUAUGAUGAGAUAAAAAGGUGGGUCAUGAAGAAUCCACAUGUUUUGAUAUUUUUGUACAGAGAAACCCUGCUUAGGAUAUAUUUAACCAUAUUAGAGUGCAAUAUUUCCCUUUCACGUUCUAGGGAGGGAAAAAAUAAAAGGAAGGAGGAAGAAAGUGACAAAAGAACUUCAAUUAGGGGCAGAGAGAUGAAACCAAGUGAAGACAUCUGUUUAGUAGCACACAUCUGGAGCAAAUUGAUCGAGAUGGGUGCGUCUUCUCCGGAUUGCUUUUGGGUUUCAAUGUUAUUCUCAAUGAAAAAUCGUGAGUUGAACAUUUUCCCUUCUUGCCCAUUUGCUUACAUGUUAUUGUCUUUGAUUUUUGUCUUCCUUUCUUGUGAAGGUUCCGUUCUCUCUCUCUCGCCACCUCUUAUCUCUUUCUUUGCCUAUUGCAGUGAUUCUUCAUCUACUUAAAUAACCUUCUUUUUUGGUCCCCUUUUAGUUUUAGAGCCGGUUUUGCAACUCGUCUUCUGCACACAUCAGUGUCUCUAAUUUGGUUUUAGAGCCAGCAACAGAGAGGGGUUUUAUCAAAAUGUCUGUUGGGAAGCAGGAAAGAAAGAGUAUGGGAUCAAGAGAAAACGUCCCUUGGCUCGGAGAAUCGUUUUUGACAUCUCCCACCCGAAAACUUGGUUCAUACCCACGCCAUCCAUCCAUCAUUUUCAUCGCUCUUUAAUUCACUUCAUAUGUAGAAUUUUGAUGUUGGUUAUUCCAAUUAGCUAGACUUACCAUUGGAAGCUGCGUUUUUGUUCAGUUUUAAGAGAUUCUUGGUGGAUAGAUGCAUGGGCUGAAUGUUUCUGAAUUAUUGAGAUCGAAAACUUGUUGCUCUAGUAGGAAUAAGGAAUGACCUGUACAUGUCAUGCGUUUGGAUUAUUUUCAUUUUAAGUACGGUGCAUCUUCUAUAUUAAUUGUCUCGGAAAUGCUUGAAAGCUUCAGUAAUGAAUCAUCAGGGUCAUCAGUUUUGUAGGGCCAUCAAGUUUUGCAGGGUAAGUCACGCCACGGCUCCCUUGGGGAAGCCACACUUGCUUAUAAGGGCCCCAUUUACAGAAAAAUGACAAAUGAUGUUUUUGAAUGUUAUAGCUUGCAAUCCGAUUGUUGUCUCAAAAAAAAACUCAUGACACACAGUUCUUCAUGAUUGGAAGACUAUGGGUUGUUAUUAGAUGAAGCAAUAUUAACUAUGUCUGCAGCUUUGUUGACUUUACAGUUUAUCACAGUAUAAUGAUGGAAUGGAAACUGAAAUUCUUCGAGGAUUAGGAGAAUGGUGCAAAGAAUGGAUAAAAAAACAAGAAAAUUUUAACAACAACAAAAAAAUAGAAAGCAUGAGAACGAAGGCGUAAAUAAAGAGUGCUUUGGUAUCAUAUCGCCCAUUACAUAAAUCUAACCCUGCAACAAAUGCAAUAAUUGUUCCUUGCCAUUACCAGCAUCCACAUCCAAGAUCACUGACUUUUGAUGACGAGGAUAAAUUGCCCCAACUUUCUUUUGCAUUUUUUCCUUCCCAUUUAAAUGAACCAAGGCACCGCAUUUGUUUAACUGUAAUUUUGACUUUCCUACAAUUGAUAUUUUACAUUGUUUCUUUCUCAAUUUUCUUGAUAGCAUGUACGGGAUGUUUUGUAGCAGAUUUGGCAUCUUGUUCAACCCAAUUGGUUUCUUUCUUCAGCUUCUUGACCGGAAGCCAUUUGACAUUUCCUUGAUAUUAGCUUGCGAGUGUAUAGAAGAAUAGGCUUUUGGGGGCUCCAUUUGUAGGUCCACUUGGGUCAAGGACGAAGAAUGAAUCUGAUCUUUGGUUGGUGCAUGGGUUCCACUGACGUAAGGAUACAAAUAUUCGAGUAGAUAGAACAUAAAACCGAGCAAGGAUUAUAUAUGUUGAUACCAAGACGUGCUUAAAUGUUGAAGUGGCUACAAGUUGUGGCGGCUAGCUAAACUUUAUUGAUGUAAGAAAAAAGCAACUUUUCUGGAUGGGACGUUUAUUCCUCUUUGAAGCUUCACAUGUGGACAAUGGUCAUGAACGGUUCUAAGACACUCCAAGCUAAGCUUGACAACCUUUGGAUUCUUUAGAAUUGCAAGUGAAGACGUGAUUAACAUUUACAUGCAAACCAUUCAAUUGCAUAUAAACCUGGAGGAUGGAGAGUUAAAAAAAUCCUAUGCUACAGCUAAUAUAGUGGUAUUGAUUACAGAGAAAUAGCUGAAGUUUUGUUGAAUAGGAAUGUUAAAAAAAAUGUAAAUGGAAGGGAGCAACCGGAGUUUCUAGCUGCAUAACCAUGCACGCUGGAAUGAA
Molecule: long non-coding RNA, 2676 nt
Organism: Nymphaea colorata (pocket water lily)
Lineage: Eukaryota; Viridiplantae; Streptophyta; Magnoliopsida; Nymphaeales; Nymphaeaceae
Exons: 4
Source: RefSeq, a predicted model, not a curated record